AGCGAAGCUGUUCUCACGCGGCGACACGCGGCCACCAUCUCCCCAAUGCGCGUCGCCACGUGCCACCUCGAUGCACCCACGGAAAACUCAUAAUUGUCAUAACAUUCGAGCUGUGCUCGCUCGAAGGAACACCAAUACCGGCUACUCGAUCUACGAAAGUCAUGUCGCAUCUUCGGGAAAUCAUUCUCGCCCUUCAUAAGGAAGAGUUAAACGAUCCUAAAGUAACGUCAUACGGACGACGUCACAAUGCGGCAUUCCAAUUGCAUCGAUGACGUCAAACAAGACUACUUGCAUCUUAAAUUGUCCUGAAAUUAGUUCGCUAUCCUGUAUAUCUACGAUACCAUAUGUACAUAAAUAUACGUAGGAAACAUGUACGAAAUUCGAUAUAAGUAACAACGUGAUAAAAUAAAGGAGAAAAAGAUGCUUGACGCAAAGAUGCGUGACGCAUCCUCGUA
Molecule: long non-coding RNA, 455 nt
Organism: Bombus pyrosoma
Lineage: Eukaryota; Metazoa; Arthropoda; Insecta; Hymenoptera; Apidae
Exons: 2
Source: RefSeq, a predicted model, not a curated record